CGAAAGCCUGACGGAGCAAUACCGCGUGAGGGAGGAAGGUUCUUGGAUUGUAAACCUCUUUUCUCAGGGAAGAAAAAAAUGACGGUACCAAAGGAAUCAGCCUCGGCUAACUCCGUGCCAGCAGCCGCGGUAAUACGGAGGAGGCAAGCGUUAUCCGGAAUGAUUGGGCGUAAAGCGUCCGCAGGUGGCAAUGUAAGUCUGCCGUCAAAACCCAGGGCUCAACUCUGGUCAGGCAGUGGAAACUACAUAGCUAGAGUUCGGUAGGGGCAAAGGGAAUUCCCGGUGUAGCGGUGAAAUGCGUAGAGAUCGGGAAGAACAUCGGUGGCGAAAGCGCUUUGCUAGACCGAAACUGACACUCAGGGACGAAAGCUAGGGGAGCG
This 380-nucleotide ribosomal RNA is filed under the name uncultured cyanobacterium. RNAcentral describes it as "bacterial SSU rRNA". It matches the Rfam family "Bacterial small subunit ribosomal RNA", at positions 376 to 770 of the family's 1533-position model. The record is from RNAcentral. Lineage: Bacteria; Bacillati; Cyanobacteriota.